Molecule: transfer RNA, 108 nt
Filed under: Actinomycetota bacterium
Lineage: Bacteria; Bacillati; Actinomycetota
Description: Actinobacteria bacterium tRNA-Ala
Source: RNAcentral
GGACGCUCCGCUCCAUUCCGCACCGCAAAGCCAUUUCCUGGUUAGCCGAAGCCCGUGAGCGCCUGGAUCGCACCCAGGAGGUCGGCGGUUCGAAUCCGCCUAGCUCCA